UACGUAGGGGGCAAGCGUUAUCCGGAUUUAUUGGGCGUAAAGAGCUCGUAGGCGGCCGAUCGCGUCGGAUGUGAAAGCUCGGGGCUCAACCCUGAGAGGCCAUUCGAUACGGAUCGGCUAGAGGUAGGUAGGGGAAAGUGGAAUUCCUGGUGUAGCGGUGAAAUGCGCAGAUAUCGUAAGGAAGACCAGUGGCGAAGGCGGGUCUCUGGACAGUUCCUGACGCUGAGGCACGAAGGUCAGGGGAGCAAACGGG
RNAcentral lists this ribosomal RNA (253 nucleotides) under uncultured bacterium. RNAcentral's name for it is "partial 16S ribosomal RNA". It matches the Rfam family "Bacterial small subunit ribosomal RNA", at positions 524 to 776 of the family's 1533-position model. The record is from RNAcentral.